UUUUGGAUUCUUUAUUUUUUAUUACACCGAUGAGAGAGAGAGGCCGGGGGAGAAGAGUCCAGGAGAAAGUUUCUCCUCGUUUCUCGGCCCCUUCCUCCACCGUCCCAUGUUGUUUUGCUGCCACUACACCAGGAUGAGGCAACUCUGCCGGGAUCCGAUUCAACUGAUUAAGAAAAGAAAAACGAAGAAGAAGAAGAAGAAGAAGAAAACCAGUUAUGUUUGUGUAUACAUUUGCUUGGCUUGCAAACUGAAAGAAUUCCCCAAUCGGAAUGCCAGUGCUCAAACACAACCUGUACGCAACAACAACAAUUUCCUGAAUUCAUUUUGGUUUUGUUUUUUAACAUUUUGUUUGUUGUUUUGUUUGUUUUUUUAACUUCAAAAGUCCAAUUCUCUCCACCUGGGUACCUGUUUCUUCUAUUCAUAAUUAUCACCGCCAUUAUCGACGUAUUCUAGUUAUUCCUCAAUAAAAAUCAAAUUAGAAAUUUGCAUAUCCACUGACCAAGAAAUUGCUACUAAAGUCGAUGUUCAGCAUCGAAGACAUCAGUCAAAGGCAGGAACUCUUUUCACUUUGUGAGCUUCCGCGUAUGCGUCACCCACCGGCUAGCGGGCGUGACUGUCGCCAUGGCUACCAAGCCGAGAGUCUCAUGCCGUUCGUGCGUCAUUCAUGGAAACUGUGGAAGGGUCGUAGCCAUUAACGCAAGUGUUCAACACACGUUGAUGUAAUACAGGAAAGCUCUAUAGAUAUCAUCGACUUUGCUCUUAUUUUCGCUUCGUUAAACGAACGCGGAUGGAGAGAGGAGAAAAUGAUUUCGAAAUGCACAGGCACAGCAGCGAGAUGGACGACAUGGAAAGCGGUCAAUCAUUGGCUCUUUCUUCGGAUUUCAUCGUGACACCAUUCCAGAAGAAAAGGGGGAAGAGGAUCGAGAGCUUGGCCCUCUCGUUUUUCCUUUUUUUUUCGAUUCAUUUUCUCCUCAUUCUUCCCUGCACCGUCACUCCUGCCCAUUUAAAGGAAUGGGUUGCGUUCACGCAAAAGCUGCCUCAUACGCACACACAAACGUCUAUAAACUCUCGGCCCUACCAACAAAUACCUGUUCAAUUCUUGACGGAUCUUUAAAGUUUACUAGACGGCCCAUUAUAGACCUUCCAUCACGAUGCAAUUGACGUACGACGGCUGAUGCAACGGCUUCGCUACGCGAUAAAACAUUUUGUAUAAACGUAUAUACAUAGCUCAUCUUA
Molecule: long non-coding RNA, 1236 nt
Organism: Daphnia magna
Lineage: Eukaryota; Metazoa; Arthropoda; Branchiopoda; Diplostraca; Daphniidae
Exons: 3
Source: RefSeq, a predicted model, not a curated record